CAGGAGGCUGACCUCUGAGGAAAAGGAGGUGUAGCCUAGAAGAUGACACUGUUGGGUCUUCUGUGUCUGGUGACAGCCCUUCCUGGUAUCCUGUCCCAGGUACAGCUUCAGGAGUCAGGACCUGGCCUGGUGAAGCCCUCACAGUCACUGUCUCUCACCUGCUCUGUCACUGGUUACUCCAUCACCAGUGGUUACUGUUGGACCUGGAUCAGACAGUCCUCAGGGAAGAAGCUGGAGUGGAUGGGGUGCAUAGAUUAUGGUGGUAGCACCUAUUACAACCCAUCCCUGCAGAGCCGCAUCUCCAUCACCAGAGAAACAUCCAAGAACCAGUUCUCCCUGCAGCUGAACUCUGUGACCACUGAGGACACAGCCACAUAUUACUGUGCAAGAGACACAGUGAGGAGACUUCAGCAUGAGCCCAGACACAAACCUCCCUGA
Non-coding RNA from Peromyscus maniculatus bairdii (prairie deer mouse), 438 nucleotides. NCBI's taxonomy places the organism in Eukaryota, Metazoa, Chordata, Mammalia, Rodentia, Cricetidae. The record is from the annotation of a RefSeq genome assembly.